UACGUAGGGUGCAAGCGUUGUCCGGAAUUAUUGGGCGUAAAGAGCUCGUAGGCGGUCUGUCGCGUCGGCUGUGAAAACCUGGGGCUCAACUCCGGGCCUGCAGCCGAUACGGGCAGACUAGAAUUCGGUAGGGGAGACUGGAAUUCCCGGUGUAGCGGUGAAAUGCGCAGAUAUCGGGAGGAACACCAGUGGCGAAGGCGGCUCACUGGCCCGAUACUGACGCUGAGGCACGAAAGCGUGGGGAGCAAACAGG
Molecule: ribosomal RNA, 253 nt
Filed under: uncultured bacterium
Lineage: Bacteria
Description: partial 16S ribosomal RNA
Rfam family: Bacterial small subunit ribosomal RNA
Source: RNAcentral